This 409-nucleotide ribosomal RNA is filed under the name uncultured bacterium. Its description in RNAcentral is "bacterial SSU rRNA". It matches the Rfam family "Bacterial small subunit ribosomal RNA", at positions 28 to 428 of the family's 1533-position model. The record is from RNAcentral.
GACGAACGCUGGCGGCGUGCUUAACACAUGCAAGUCGAGCGGUAAGGGCCUUUCGGGGUACACGAGCGGCGAACGGGUGAGUAACACGUGGGUGACCUGCCCUCCACUUCGGGAUAAGCCUGGGAAACUGGGUCUAAUACGGGAUGGGACCAUUCCAUGCAUGUGGGGUGGUGGAAAGUCGGUGCUGUUGUGGUGCUGGCGGUGGGGGAUGGGCCCGCGGUCUAUCAGCUUGUUGGGGGGUGAUGGCUCACCAAGGCGACGACGGAUAGCCGGCCUGAGAGGGUGAUCGGCCACACUGGGACUGAGACACGGCCCAGACUCCUACGGGAGGCAGCAGUGGGGAAUCUUGCGCAAUGGGCGGAAGCCUGACGCAGCAACGCCGCGUGGGGGAUGACGGCCUCGGUUGUAA